AUUGAACGCUGGCGGCAUGCCUUACACAUGCAAGUCGAACGGCAGCGGGGGAGAAGCUUGCUUUUCCUGCCGGCGAGUGGCGAACGGGCGAGUAAUACAUCGGAACGUGCCCUGUAGUGGGGGAUAACUAGUCGAAAGAUUAGCUAAUACCGCCUACGACCUGAGGGUGAAAGUGGGGGACCGCAAGGCCUCAUGCUAUAGGAGCGGCCGAUGGCUGAUUAGCUAGUUGGUGGGGUAAAGGCCUACCAAGGCGACGAUCAGUAGCUGGUCUGAGAGGACGAUCAGCCACACUGGGACUGAGACACGGCCCAGACUCCUACGGGAGGCAGCAGUGGGGAAUUUUGGACAAUGGGCGAAAGCCUGAUCCAGCAAUGCCGCGUGUGUGAAGAAGGCCUUCGGGUUGUAAAGCACUUUUGUCCGGAAAGAAAUGGCUCUGGUUAAUACCUGGGGUCGAUGACGGUACCGGAAGAAUAAGGACCGGCUAACUACGUGCCAGCAGCCGCCGUAA
RNAcentral lists this ribosomal RNA (508 nucleotides) under uncultured bacterium. Its description in RNAcentral is "partial 16S ribosomal RNA". It matches the Rfam family "Bacterial small subunit ribosomal RNA", at positions 30 to 523 of the family's 1533-position model. The record is from RNAcentral.